RNAcentral lists this long non-coding RNA (1024 nucleotides) under Anas platyrhynchos platyrhynchos (common mallard). RNAcentral describes it as "lncRNA (ENSAPLG00000028866.1)". The record is from RNAcentral. Lineage: Eukaryota; Metazoa; Chordata; Aves; Anseriformes; Anatidae.
UAAGGCUGCUGGGAACAAUUUGGGGGCAAUUAGCACCAAUUUGGGGCCCACUUUGGCCUCUCGGGCACCACUUUGGUUCCCUGAGCGCUGUUUUGGGGCGAUUUUAGGGCCCCAGGCACUGUUUUGGGGCCCCAGGCACCGUUUUGGGGACAGUUUUGGGGCUUCUGGGGACAAUUUGGGGGCUCUGGGCACCACUUUGGGGCUCUGAGGCACCAUUUGAAGUCCCCAUGCACAAUUUUGGGGAUAAUUUUGUGGGUUUUGGGACAAUUUGGGGGUGUUGGGGACAAGUUAGGAGAGUUAGGGACAAUUUUGGGGCGCCAGGCACCAUUUUGGGGCCCACUUUGGCCUCUCGGGGACCAUUUUAGGUCCCUAAGCACCGUUUUGGGGACAAUUUGGGGGAGUUUGGGACAAUUUAGGGGUGUUGGGGACAAUUUGGGGCCCACUUUAGCCUGCUGGGCACUAUUUUGGCUCCCUAAACUCUGCUUUGGGGAUGAUUUGGGGAAGUUAGGGACAAUUUCGGGGCACUGGGCACCAUUUUGGGGCCUUCCAAAAUGGAGGCCUCCCAGGAGCCAUUUUGUUGCCUUGAACACUUUUGGGGACAAUUUGGGGACGUUUGGGACAAGUUAAGGCUGCUGGGAACAAUUUGGGGGCAAUUAGCACCAAUUUGGGGCCCACUUUGGCCUCUCGGGCACCACUUUGGUUCCCUGAGCGCUGUUUUGGGGACAAUUUGGGGACGUUUGGGACAAUUUAAGGCUGCUGGGAACAAUUUGGGGGCAAUUAGCACCAUUUUGGGGCCCACUUUGGCCUCUCGGGCACUGUUUUGGCUCCCCAAGCAUUAUUUUGGGGACAAUUUGAGGCUGUUGGGGACAAUUUGGGGAUGCUGGGGACAAUUUGGGGGCACUUUGACCUCUUGGGCACCAUUUUGGCUCCCUGAGCACUGUUUUGGGGAUGAUCUGGAGACGAUUUGGGGAUGAUGGGGACAAUUUGGGCACCUUGAGGACAAUUUUGGGGACAUUAGGGACAA